UACCAUGCAGUCGAACGGUGAAGCCCAGCUUGCUGGGUGGAUCAGUGGCGAACGGGUGAGUAACACGUGAGCAAUCUGCCCCUGACUCUGGGAUAAGCGCUGGAAACGGCGUCUAAUACUGGAUAUGAACCGUGGAGGCAUCUUCAACGGUUGGAAAGAUUUUUUGGUCAGGGAUGAGCUCGCGGCCUAUCAGCUUGUUGGUGAGGUAAUGGCUCACCAAGGCGUCGACGGGUAGCCGGCCUGAGAGGGUGACCGGCCACACUGGGACUGAGACACGGCCCAGACUCCUACGGGAGGCAGCAGUGGGGAAUAUUGCACAAUGGGCGCAAGCCUGAUGCAGCAACGCCGCGUGAGGGAUGACGGCCUUCGGGUUGUAAACCUCUUUUAGCAGGGAAGAAGCGAAAGUGACGGUACCUGCAGAAAAAGCGCCGGCUAACUACGUGCCAGCAGCCGCGGUAAUACGUAGGGCGCAAGCGUUAUCCGGAAUUAUUGGGCGUAAAGAGCUCGUAGGCGGUUUGUCGCGUCUGCUGUGAAAUCCCGAGGCUCAACCUCGGGUCUGCAGUGGGUACGGGCAGACUAGAGUGCGGUAGGGGAGAUUGGAAUUCCUGGUGUAGCGGUGGAAUGCGCAGAUAUCAGGAGGAACACCGAUGGCGAAGGCAGAUCUCUGGGCCGUAACUGACGCUGAGGAGCGAAAGGGUGGGGAGCAAACAGGCUUAGAUACCCUGGUAGUCCACCCCGU
Molecule: ribosomal RNA, 739 nt
Filed under: actinobacterium BAL381
Lineage: Bacteria; Bacillati; Actinomycetota; Actinomycetes
Description: bacterial SSU rRNA
Rfam family: Bacterial small subunit ribosomal RNA
Source: RNAcentral